Molecule: ribosomal RNA, 404 nt
Filed under: Aeromonas salmonicida subsp. salmonicida
Lineage: Bacteria; Pseudomonadati; Pseudomonadota; Gammaproteobacteria; Aeromonadales; Aeromonadaceae
Description: bacterial SSU rRNA
Rfam family: Bacterial small subunit ribosomal RNA
Source: RNAcentral
AAAUUGAAGAGUUUGAUCAUGGCUCAGAUUGAACGCUGGCGGCAGGCCUAACACAUGCAAGUCGAGCGGCAGCGGGAAAGUAGCUUGCUACUUUUGCCGGCGAGCGGCGGACGGGUGAGUAAUGCCUGGGGAUCUGCCUAGUCGAGGGGGAUAACAGUUGGAAACGACUGCUAAUACCGCAUACGCCCUACGGGGGAAAGGAGGGGACCUUCGGGCCUUUCGCGAUUGGAUGAACCCAGGUGGGAUUAGCUAGUUGGUGGGGUAAUGGCUCACCAAGGCGACGAUCCCUAGCUGGUCUGAGAGGAUGAUCAGCCACACUGGAACUGAGACACGGUCCAGACUCCUACGGGAGGCAGCAGUGGGGAAUAUUGCACAAUGGGGAAACCCUGAUGCAGCCAUGCCGC